RNAcentral lists this ribosomal RNA (253 nucleotides) under uncultured bacterium. Its description in RNAcentral is "partial 16S ribosomal RNA". It matches the Rfam family "Bacterial small subunit ribosomal RNA", at positions 524 to 776 of the family's 1533-position model. The record is from RNAcentral.
UACGGAGGGGACUAGCGUUGUUCGGAAUUACUGGGCGUAAAGCGCACGUAGGCGGAUUUGUAAGUCAGGGGUGAAAUCCCGGGGCUCAACCCCGGAACUGCCUUUGAUACUGCGAAUCUCGAGUCCGGAAGAGGUGAGUGGAAUUCCUAGUGUAGAGGUGAAAUUCGUAGAUAUUAGGAAGAACACCGGUGGCGAAGGCGGCUCACUGGCUCGUAACUGACGCUCAUGCACGACAGCGUGGGGAUCAAACAGG